UGCAUCUGCUUCAACUACAUCUAAUGAUGUAUAUCCUUUUUGGUUCAAAGCAUUUACUUCAACACCAAGCUUAAGUAGAUAAAUAAUCAUCUGUAAACAGAACAAGUCAUUCAUGUAUAUAUAAUUAGUUUUGAGCUUUA
Molecule: long non-coding RNA, 140 nt
Organism: Solanum stenotomum
Lineage: Eukaryota; Viridiplantae; Streptophyta; Magnoliopsida; Solanales; Solanaceae
Exons: 2
Source: RefSeq, a predicted model, not a curated record